RNAcentral lists this unclassified non-coding RNA (3143 nucleotides) under Leishmania donovani. RNAcentral's name for it is "gene:LdHU3.30.3510(pseudogene-product:hypothetica l_protein_conserved)". The record is from RNAcentral. Lineage: Eukaryota; Euglenozoa; Kinetoplastea; Trypanosomatida; Trypanosomatidae.
GCAGGGCCGUUAGCGGGGAUUGCUAGGAAAAGGGCGUCACACGCACACACACACACCAACGUGCACAUAUAUAUAUAUAUAUUUGCAAAAAUAUACGCCUUUCAAGACUGUCAAAGGAGCUGCCUGCCAUGGAAUUGCACGUGUGUCAUGCACGGACAAGUCGGAGGCGCCUGAGUCGCAACCUCCCAGCCGCCCGCGUGAGGAUGAGAGCAACGCCGACCGCACGGCAUCGAAGUCGGAGGUGCUCUCGCACAGCUCCUCCAGCAGCUGCGUGCCAGACCGCGAUCCUAAGGGCACCGGGGGAGAAAACGCCCCCGUGAGCGGCAGUGGUACACCGGAGGCGACGUCUGUGCCUGCUUCACAGCCUGCGAUAGCGACCACCGGCGCCACGGCGGCACUCAUGAGCCUUCCACAACAGUCGCUGUGUGAACAGGGGAAGGUGCACCCGGCCUACGCGGAGGCCGAGGAGGCCCACGGCGAGGCAGCAGAGGGAGUCGCCUACCAAUGCGCGGAGAAGCGUCCCUCCUCCAAGCACGGUGACACCGUUGCAUCAGAGAACCGCUUAACUGGCGCCUCCACUUCAUCGGCGCACGAUUCGGUUUGCGAAGCGGGUUCUUCCGGCGCGCCAGUAGCACCGCACCUCUCCUCGGGCCGGACGCAGGUGCCGGCAGUGCUGCACAACGGUGCAGCGACUGCGCGGCAGAAGGCGGGGGAGGCGAAAGACAGAUCCUGUAGGCCACUCCAUCUAGCCUCCAACGACUACGUCAGGGCGUACGCGCUCAGCUUGGCAUCCUCUUCAUCGCUGCCGCGCCAGACGCCAGCUCAUGCCGUGGUGCACCGCCACACACCCGAUCGGUCGCCGGAGACGAAGUGGAACGCAUCACGGGUAAGCACGACGGGCGCGGCGCAGCACGAGAUGCUACCGCCCAUCAGUGUCGGCUCCAAAAGCAAGCCACGCGUGCGUAGUAGCAACUCCAGCAGAAAAACGCGCACCGCACCCAACAAGGUCUCAAAAGCCGCCCCCACGUCUCGUUCGAUGCCAGCCGUCAGUCAUGCGUCAAACGCGUUGAGCGUGGCGGGGUCGGCGACGGCAAGGGCCGUCGUGCCGACCGGGGCAUCGUACCGGACGCUGUACUCAACAACUGGGGGCGCCAUGAAGGGCCUGGUCGACCACGUGGAUAGCAACUCGUUCGGGUUCCACCUGCGGAAUAUGUUUCAGCGGAUCGACUUCGCAGAAGUUCAACGUGAAGCCCAGCGUGGUGAGAAAGAGAGCGCUGCCUUGCAGAUGUGUCGACGUCUCUUCCGUGUCAUCGCCAAGAACAAAGACUUCGUGAGCGUGGAGGAUUUGCACGAGCUAUUGUUGAUCUUCACGCCGUGCGGCGUGUCGCUUCGAGAGGGCGCGGAUUUCUUAUGGGAGGACUGCGGAGGCAAGUUAUCCUUGACUUUCCGCGACUUCCUGCGGUACGGGGCGGCGCUGCGCGCACGCCUGCGGGACUACGAACUCUUUGAACAGCUGUCGGACCAGCAGAAGCUGAUCGUCAUGCACGCACGCAUCCUGCCGGUUGAGCCUCCAGAUGACGCCAACACAGCGCGGGUGAACCUGCUGCGCGUGGCCGAUCACCAGAUGCAGGGCCAACUGCCGCGGCACACCCGUUCGCUGCGCUUGUACGAAGAACUCUUCCUUGUCGACUACCAUGAGCGACUUCACGACGCCGCGCUGAUUCCGGCGAGCGAGGUUCCACCACAGGGGCUGAAGAGCGACUACGCGCAUGAGUAUGGACGUGAGCAGCAAGGUAGACCGUUUCCCGCGCUCCCCCGCUGUCGGUGCCCGCCUUGAAGGAGGACAUGGAGUGGCGACACACAGAAGUUGUGUACUCCACCGAUAGCGACGCGAGCGACGCGGCCGUGCAUGCUGCAGCGGCUGAGAAGCGCGCUGCGGCAGCGCACAACGAGAGCGAGUACCCGACUCUGUCGCGAAGCAUUCACCUCGUGGGCGCAACCAAGGCUCCAGGCAAGGCAGGCAGUCGCACGGCGGGCCAGCGAAAGCACCCGCAGCGCAGAUACAAGGCCGCCGCGGCCUCAAGCAUGGGCGCCGGAGCGACGUACAGCGACAGAAGCCGUCGAACCGGGUUGGGUCAGAGAGGUUCGUGGUUGAUCUGCAGCGACAGCCGCUUCCGCCGCAGCAAAAGAAGAUGGGCCGCUUUGUGGAGGAGGAGUACUGGGAGCGGCGCAUCAUGGAUGACCACCUCAUCACACAGCUGCAGUCGAUGUACAAGACGCAGUAGGGAAAGGGCCUCGCUCGUUGGCAGCCCUGGUUUUGCUUUGGCGCGUCUGUGUCCCCACCUCUCUCCCGCGUUUUUCGACGCGUUUCACCGAUUCUUGUGCUGCAACGCACCUCUGGGCAGCGUCUGGUAUCCACCAUCACUCCGCCCUCGCCUCCCAGGCCCCACGACGUGGGUAUGUUCGCAAUUGUGGCGGUAAAACGAGAAAGGACGAGUCAACAAAAAAAACCGAAGAAGGGACUCGGUUUAGCGAGCCGACGGCAUACUCUUGCACGAGUCAUGAUGUCACUCUUUUCGUGCUUUUUCUUUCUUUGUCCUGCUUUACUGCUGAGCGAAGGAGGCGGUGCGCACAUUUCACAUUCUUUGCCUUCGCCGCUCGGCUCUCCCCUCCCUCCCUCUCCCAUCCUCCCCGUGCUGUGAUGGCCUCUCCGCUCUCCUUACGUUCUUUUCUGUUUUGUCGUUGCCGUUUCACGUGACCCUCUCGUACUCGGCACUUCGGCGUAUAUACAUCGCUCUAUAUACAUCUGAUAUAUGUAUAUAUACAGAUGUAUAGAUGCAGAUUUCUCUAUGGUAUGGAAUGCAUGUACAGCUGGGACUUCUCCCUCUUCGGUCCUCCUCUCAACAAACGCGCGCACACACAUACACAUACUGACGCAAACACCUCUGGAACACGGGCACACUCUCGUUGUGUGCUCUCUAUCAUGCGUCUUAUAGCCUCUCUCUUCGCUUAAACACUUCAUGUCUCUCUCCCUUCUUCAUCGAGUGGUUGUCGUCUUGCCCUCGGCCGUUUGCUGCGCGGCUCUGGUACAUUGGUUCUCUGUUUCUUUUUCAGUUUCUCGUCCUUCUCUGCGCUUGUGCUUC